RNAcentral lists this ribosomal RNA (407 nucleotides) under uncultured bacterium. RNAcentral describes it as "bacterial SSU rRNA". It matches the Rfam family "Bacterial small subunit ribosomal RNA", at positions 28 to 433 of the family's 1533-position model. The record is from RNAcentral.
GAUGAACGCUGGCGGCGUGCUUAACACAUGCAAGUCGAACGGAGAUUUCGUUUUCGGAUGGAAUCUUAGUGGCGGACGGGUGAGUAACGCGUGAGGAACCUGCCUUUCAGUGGGGAAUAACAGUCGGAAACGACUGCUAAUACCGCAUAAUGUAUCGUUGUCGCAUGGCGAUGAUACCAAAGAUUUAUCGCUGAAAGAUGGCCUCGCGUCUGAUUAGCUAGUUGGCGGGGUAACGGCCCACCAAGGCGACGAUCAGUAGCCGGACUGAGAGGUUGGCCGGCCACAUUGGGGACUGAGACACGGCCCAGACUCCUACGGGAGGCAGCAGUGGGGAAUAUUGGGCAAUGGGCGCAAGCCUGACCCAGCAACGCCGCGUGAAGGAUGAAGGUUUUCGGAUUGUAAACUUC